UACGUAGGGGGCAAGCGUUGUCCGGAUUUAUUGGGCGUAAAGAGCGUGUAGGCGGCCGUACAGGUCAGCUGUGAAAACUCGAGGCUCAACCUCGAGACGUCGGUUGAAACCGUACGGCUAGAGUCCGGAAGAGGAGAGUGGAAUUCCCGGUGUAGCGGUGAAAUGCGCAGAUAUCGGGAAGAACACCCGUGGCGAAGGCGGCUCUCUGGGACGGUACUGACGCUGAGACGCGAAAGCGUGGGGAGCGAACAGG
This 253-nucleotide ribosomal RNA is filed under the name uncultured bacterium. RNAcentral describes it as "partial 16S ribosomal RNA". It matches the Rfam family "Bacterial small subunit ribosomal RNA", at positions 524 to 776 of the family's 1533-position model. The record is from RNAcentral.